Ictidomys tridecemlineatus (thirteen-lined ground squirrel) is the source of this 3710-nucleotide non-coding RNA. The record is from RefSeq and is a predicted model, not a curated record. NCBI's taxonomy places the organism in Eukaryota, Metazoa, Chordata, Mammalia, Rodentia, Sciuridae.
UUCUACUAAGGAAUCCCUUUACCUAAUGGCAUCUCACAAGACUACAGUCAGACUCAAGAGAAGGCCUCUUGAUACAUCAAGAUAGCACCUAUAUGCAUUUUGUGAACAGCUUAUUCUUAGAUCAUUGGUUUUCCAAAGACUUGUGGCCAUGAAGUCCUUUGAAUGAAAAUAUGGAAGCCCAGAGUAAAAGUGAAGCUGCUCUAAAUGAAGUAGUGAAGCAGAAGUGGGAGUCUGCAACCUGCCAUAACCAUCAUCCUUUACCACCAUGGUGACAUCAAAAGAGACUUCCUUGCAACAUGUAGAAUUCUUCAGAGCAAAGUUUGAAAACUACUGCCCCAGAUGACGUGUUUGAGCUGAGUGGCAUUCUAAUCUUUUGUGUACCUUCUCUCAAUAUGGUCCAUAUUCAGUUGAUGCUGAACAUUCUUACGAAUAUUUACUGCAGACUUAGGAAUAUGCAAGAAAUGACAAAGUGCAAGAAAUGCCUUUGCCCCCCCAGAAUGGUCAUGUGGGCUGAAAAUAGUGUCAAAUGAACCUUCAUUAAUAGCCCUCCAUCCCAGAUGGACUUAAAAUCACUCCUGGAAUUGGAUAGACCCAGAGAGCAACUAAUAUGCACCCUACACUGACAAAUCCCACUUACCAACCUUCUUAAACACCAGAUGUACUACUGGUACUGAAGUACAUGAAUGAUAUCUUAGACCUUCCUUGGAUACAUGAAAAACCUACAGGUUGAUACUGAAACUGAUUCCUCAUUGAGACCAUCUUAAACCAACUUGUGCAUUUGACCUCUCAUCAUUAACCAUGGUACUAUACUUCGUAUGCAAGGGAUAACUAACUAUGAAAGCAGAAUCCAAAUAUUGGCAGCAUUUCCCAAAGGGGCUCAGUACCUGGUUAUCAUUCAUCUUUUCAAACUACAAAUCACUAUAUGACUCAACCAGUGGUAGUUUACACUGCUCCUUGGUUUAUAUUCAGUUAACCGGUAUUUCCAGGACAAGUGAGCCUUUAAAAAAGUUGGCUUUUUUGUUUAAUUUUAAUUUUCUCCAUCACUUGGCAUAUCUGCUUGUUCUACAAAAUUAAUAUGAAUACUAGUCUCUAACUACAUGUAACAGCUGAUCUUCAAGACAAUCUUUGGACAUCCCUUCUCAUGUGAUUUUAAAUGAAGCCAUUUGGAAAAUUUUUCUUAUAGCCAGUGAGAAAUGUUCUUGUAAUAUGAAUCUUUUGUGCCUGGUACCAUCAACUAUAUAUGCUAGUGAUAGUUAAACAUAGGCCCUUUGAUCAGACCAUGGUAGCCAACUCGCUGGGCUACAUUUUUGUCAGACUGAUAUGGAAAAAAAAAAUACAAAUACAGCAGCAAAGGAUUUUAAUGCUUAAAACUUUUGUCCUCAUGGAUCUUAAAUCACAUCUGUCUCAAUACUGCUGUUUCAUACCAAUUAAAAGUGGUUGGCUUUAUUCCUUUCUGUGAGAUACUGUUAGUCAUUAGGACAAUUUAUUUCUGUAAGAAGGAUUCAGUUCUUGAAUUCCCAAAUCAUAUCAAAUGAAGAGACUUCGAUUUGUGUCCUGAGAAAAAUCUCAUCCUUUACUGCACAAUUUAAGGGCUGGCCAUCCUCAGCCACUUUAACAAAUGUACAGAUUCACUGCUGGAAAUGCUUUCUUCAUGUCCUUGUUUCCUAGCCUCUAGAUUAAUCGUGAUUAUGUGAUUCAUUCUACAAAUCAUCAAACAAGACUUAGUCCUGUUGCUGUAGAUUGCUUACCCUCAGCACAUUAAAUCUGGAUGAAUAUUCUGCUUAUAUAUACAGCUUUUAUAUCUUCAAGAUCACUUUUUCUGCUGUCUUCAGAUUGUCAAAUUGUCAGAUUUUUCCCCCCUGUGCUUUUCCUGUACCUUUCGGAAAAAGACAUUUAUCUACACUGCCAGUUAUUCCCUCUGAUCCUAUCAUACUCAAUCAAAAUGAAGGGUUUAAUAUGAGAGUGAUCAUCUGCUCAAGAGUCAAAUGUAUCCUGUGCUUAAGAAUUGGUAAUUAAGAAGGCAAAAAGCCCAAAACUUAAACCCAGGAGUUUGCCUACUAUCUCCACACCUCAAAUCUUAUCCAAAUCUUUCAAGAGUGCCAUCCAACCAGUCUGAGGCCUUGACUUGCUUGUAAGGCGACUCUCAGAGAUGAGCUCAGUUACAGAAGAUGAAGACUUGAUUACCAAAGAAAGUAGGGCCAACUUUGACAAACCUGGCUCUACUGACCCUGCUGCUCCCAGAUAUAGUGUAAACUGAUAAACAGACCCUCAGGUCUGGAUUGGAUAUGGCCUUUGAGCUGGCUGUUCUUGGGCAAAUGAACAGGAAAAUGAGAGCUGCUAUACCUGACUAGCCCUUUAAGAUCAGAAAAUGGUAUUCCGAGUUAACCCUGUAGAAUAAUUCUGAAGUACCCAGGGCAAAAACUAAUUUAUAGAACAUUUAUUAAUCCACCACAUUAUAUCCUGUCUUUUGGUAUGGCUGGUCCUGUUGAAGUUGCCCUGCUUGUCAAUUUACCUGUCUCAACUCUUACCUGCCUUUUUUAACAUGUUUCUGCAAUUAGACUGAGAAGACAAUAGCCAAUUUCAGCAUAUCUUGUGCCCAAUUCCAUCAAGGAUUUCUGAAUGGAAGCAGCCCCAUACUUCACCCCAAAAGGACUUAAUGUUCACAACAGGAAAGGAUCAUGCUGCACACUCCUAGUGGUGAGUAAGCUACACUUGACCAUUUUUGGCACCUGGGACCUCUUCUGCCAGAUUCGGAAGGGAAAAGUGCAGCAGAUGGAAAGCAAAUCCAUUUCUCUCUUCUGCAGCAACAGAAAUGAGUCUGGUUCACCAGUACUCAUAGGAAUGUACCAGUUCAACUUGGCAAAAGACUUAAAGGAACACUAGAGAAGUUUUCCACUGAACUUAAUAAUUUAUCACUGACUCAUAUAGCGUUGCAAAACUACUUGCCAAUAAGAACCUUCAUGUCACAAAGAUAUUGGGACUCUCAGACUCAGCUGAGUUUGCUUGUAUUGAAUCUCUGGUAUCAUCCAAAGUACCCUAUUGGACAUAAAUUACUAUUCCAUUCAAAUGGAUUAUAGACUUCCUGAGGACAGGAAAACCAUCCCUCAUGGUUAUUUUUAAAACAAUUUUAUUACCAGUGAAGAAACAAUGCCAGCAUUCAGAUUCAUAAGCAGAGAUCAAGUUUUUUCAAUAUCUGGUCGUAUCCUGAACAUCAUUUGUUUUUGAUUGCCCAGCAUCCAUUCCAUCUCAUUGUAGCAAUUUCAUGAUAUUUCUUGGAACCCUAUCUUCCUAUUUGCAGUCCAUGUGGUUUGGAUAGUGUGAGCCUUGGGCUUCAGGGGUAUACAUGUAAUUCAGACCUCAUCAAUCAACAAAAUCCAUGUCCUUGAUCAUAGCUAUUGGUUCAUGAAUGGUUGUUUGGCUCAAGUUGGUCUAUUGUUAACCCUAGGAGUUUUACUGAAUUGUGAAGAAGUUUUCUUUAUGGAGGUGCUUUAGCUUUGUAGAAUGAAAAACUCAAACCAAUAAGGCCUAUCACGACAUUGCAUGAGCCACUCUUGAGAAUGAAGCCAGUGCAAAGGAAAACAGCCAGAGAUGGAGAGACUUGAGUCCUGAUGACAGCAUUUGUGCCCCUGGAUCCAACUGUGCCUGAAGCUAGUAUAUCCCCUGGACUUUGCAGUUAUGUGAACCAAUAAAUACCCUUUUUGCUUAUGUUA